Molecule: ribosomal RNA, 253 nt
Filed under: uncultured bacterium
Lineage: Bacteria
Description: partial 16S ribosomal RNA
Rfam family: Bacterial small subunit ribosomal RNA
Source: RNAcentral
UACGUAGGGGGCAAGCGUUAUCCGGAUUUACUGGGUGUAAAGGGAGCGUAGACGGCAGUGCAAGUCUGAAGUGAAAGGCGGGGGCCCAACCCCCGGACUGCUUUGGAAACUGUGCUGCUGGAGUGCAGGAGAGGCAAGUGGAAUUCCUAGUGUAGCGGUGAAAUGCGUAGAUAUUAGGAGGAACACCAGUGGCGAAGGCGGCUUGCUGGACUGUAACUGACGUUGAGGCUCGAAGGCGUGGGGAGCAAACAGG